This 253-nucleotide ribosomal RNA is filed under the name uncultured bacterium. Its description in RNAcentral is "partial 16S ribosomal RNA". It matches the Rfam family "Bacterial small subunit ribosomal RNA", at positions 524 to 776 of the family's 1533-position model. The record is from RNAcentral.
UACGAAGGGGGCUAGCGUUGCUCGGAAUCACUGGGCGUAAAGCGCACGUAGGCGGCUUCUUAAGUCAGGGGUGAAAUCCUGGAGCUCAACUCCAGAACUGCCUUUGAUACUGGGUAUCUUGAGUAUGGAAGAGGUGAGUGGAAUUCCGAGUGUAGAGGUGAAAUUCGUAGAUAUUCGCAAGAACACCAGUGGCGAAGGCGGCUCACUGGCCCGAUACUGACGCUGAGGCACGAAAGCGUGGGGAGCAAACAGG